GCAUCGAUGAAGAACGCAGCAAACUGCGAAAAGUAAUGUGACUUGCAUAAAUCGCGAACCAUUGAAUUCUUGAACGCAUAUUGCACCCUGUGCUUGCACUGGGUCUGUCUGGCUGAGCGUCACCAAGUUAUCCUCAGCCCAUGCGGCUGGUCAUGGGUGUUCGACUGGCUUCGGGCAGUUGGCCACCUGAAACACAUUGAAUGACUGCCAGGCGCAGCACUGCAGGUGACUCUGCAGCAGCCAGUGCCACGGCAGCCAACCUCCUAACUCCAACCUCAGCUCAGGCGAGAGUACCCGCUGAACUUAAGCAUAUCAAUAAGCGGAGGA
This 327-nucleotide ribosomal RNA is filed under the name uncultured fungus. RNAcentral describes it as "eukaryotic LSU rRNA". The stretch from base 1 to 122 matches the Rfam family "5.8S ribosomal RNA", at positions 30 to 154 of the family's 154-position model. Lineage: Eukaryota; Fungi. The record is from RNAcentral.